GCCCUAAGAUCCAUAAAAAUUAAAUAUAUAGGGGCGGGGGGAAUGGAACAGAGACGUCAAGAGACAGCAGACAAUGCCAGCGUUUUACUAACUUAAUUCUACACCUCGCAUUAUUCAGGCCCCAACUCAACCCGACAUAAUUAUAUGAUUAAUAAGCUCCAUUGUGAGCGAGUCGCGAGUUGGAUGAGCGUGAAAAUGAAAGUGCUGUCGAUGGAUGGUUGGAAAACUAUGUGUGCAGAGGGGGGAUGGCUAAGUAGAGAUGGCAGUGCAAUUUUCCGUUGCACUUUUCGAUUUCGCACCGGUCCGCGGGCUCCGUUAUUAUAUAUAGUAUAUUAGUGUAGUGCGAUAUAGCCACCUCCAACGUACCCAUUGUUUGCUUUUAAUCUUCGACGUGCGAGCGCAGACAGGUGCACUUAUGAAAGCGCAACCACUCAUCGCCCAUCUAACGGAUCGAAUGGCCUUCAUGUAGACGCAUGGAGGCUGACUUAUUGCCAGCACUGUGCUGCCAAGAUCAAUUCAAAUCGAACGGUUUUGAAAAUUAAUUGCCCACAUAUUGUGAACUUCAUUUAAACGCAAUUUAUUUAAUUUCAGCUAUUUUCCCACUACUGACACUAUUCUCUGCUGCAUAGUGUACAUUUGUUAAAUUUUCGUGUACGGAAAGUGCUGAAAGUUGGUGUCAGACGCGCUUUCGUUGGGCAUUAAUAACAGCAGUCAAUAAUAAAUAUACUCAAAGUGUCCCGAAGCUGGCACGCUCGCUUUGAAUGUAAUUAGGGUCACAAGUGAUGGAGACGGAGAUGGAGCCCGAGAUGAGCCACCAACCAUUAGUGCUCAACCACACUCGGGCACACUCUUGUGGACUGACUUUGGGCCAAAAAGCGACGUCAAAUGGAUGCUGACAAAUGCCAGAGCACAGUAGGCAGGAGAACAGAAAACCUUUAUUGAUACUUUUGCCAUGUAAAACAGAACACUUGAACAAAUUCUGGGAAAUAUUUUGUCUCUCGUAAUUAAAACUGUUUAUGAAUGAGGAACUUUGAUAAACAUAUUGUGUUUAUUCCAUCGAGAAAUUUGAAAAACUUAGCGUGGACCGUUAAUUGGGUUAGAAGCAUCGCAUUGCAUUGACACCGAUCGAAUUGAGCCAUCGAGAAUCUAUGCCAGCCAACACUGCGUAUACGUAUGCCGAUGCAAACGAGAGUACCGAUAUCGAUGACGUUCUGUCGGGUCGUUCUGUCCUCCUGAUUUUAUGCCGCUACUCACGAUUACCGUAGAUGAUGAGCUGCUGACGAUGGAUGUGGUGGCCAAUGUGGGUCACAUGGGUUGAUGCUCAGCCACGGAAAAGUGUUUCUAUGCUGCUGUUGACUAAUUUCAUCUGGCGAUUUAGCAUUCGAGGUAUGAGCCUGUAUACCUGUGCACCGAUCUACAGAAUCAUUUCGAUAUACAAAUUCAAUCUCUGCCACAAGUCUCGUGCACCGAGUAAUUACGACCAGAAGGCGUUUUGAAGAUGAUCAGACGUCUGUCAAGCGAUGGGUUCCAAUUAUAUUUCCAAAAUAUAAGAUUAUAGUUCU
Drosophila yakuba is the source of this 1562-nucleotide long non-coding RNA. RefSeq lists it as uncharacterized. The transcript has 2 exons. Lineage: Eukaryota; Metazoa; Arthropoda; Insecta; Diptera; Drosophilidae. The record is from RefSeq and is a predicted model, not a curated record.